RNAcentral lists this unclassified non-coding RNA (224 nucleotides) under Hevea brasiliensis (rubber tree). Lineage: Eukaryota; Viridiplantae; Streptophyta; Magnoliopsida; Malpighiales; Euphorbiaceae. The record is from RNAcentral.
GGUUCUUGUUACUAUAAAGCAAACUUUAAUGGAAAACUUUAAUGGGUGACGACUAAUUUGAGUGAUGGAUUUGAUUUGAUAAGUUCUUGGAUGUUGACUUGAAACCCCUUAUCAAAGGAAACUUAUAUUUUGCCCAUUCUUGUUGUUAUUGUGUAUCAAGAUUCAUGCUUGGAGUGCGACAAUGGAGAGGUUUAUGGCCUGCUUUUCAUUUCUUUUAACACUUU